RNAcentral lists this ribosomal RNA (747 nucleotides) under Salmonella enterica. RNAcentral describes it as "partial 23S ribosomal RNA". It matches the Rfam family "Bacterial large subunit ribosomal RNA", at positions 568 to 1315 of the family's 2925-position model. RNAcentral also lists the same sequence under 1 other name. Lineage: Bacteria; Pseudomonadati; Pseudomonadota; Gammaproteobacteria; Enterobacterales; Enterobacteriaceae. The record is from RNAcentral.
AAGCGGUGAGUGCUUUGGGGUGGGGUGACUGCGUACCUUUUGUAUAAUGGGUCAGCGACUUAUAUUCUGUAGCAAGGUUAACCGUAUAGGGGAGCCGAAGGGAAACCGAGUCUUAACUGGGCGUUAAGUUGCAGGGUAUAGACCCGAAACCCGGUGAUCUAGCCAUGGGCAGGUUGAAGGUUGGGUAACACUAACUGGAGGACCGAACCGACUAAUGUUGAAAAAUUAGCGGAUGACUUGUGGCUGGGGGUGAAAGGCCAAUCAAACCGGGAGAUAGCUGGUUCUCCCCGAAAGCUAUUUAGGUAGCGCCUCGUGAACUCAUCUUCGGGGGUAGAGCACUGUUUCGGCUAGGGGGUCAUCCCGACUUACCAACCCGAUGCAAACUGCGAAUACCGAAGAAUGUUAUCACGGGAGACACACGGCGGGUGCUAACGUCCGUCGUGAAGAGGGAAACAACCCAGACCGCCAGCUAAGGUCCCAAAGUCACAGUUAAGUGGGAAACGAUGUGGGAAGGCUCAGACAGCCAGGAUGUUGGCUUAGAAGCAGCCAUCAUUUAAAGAAAGCGUAAUAGCUCACUGGUCGAGUCGGCCUGCGCGGAAGAUGUAACGGGGCUAAACUGUGCACCGAAGCUGCGGCAGCGACGCUUAUGCGUUGUUGGGUAGGGGAGCGUUCUGUAAGCCUGCGAAGGUGUCCUGUGAGGGAUGCUGGAGGUAUCAGAAGUGCGAAUGCUGACAUAAGUAACGAUAA